AACCCGUGAUGGGGACAUUGCGAUUGAUAUCCCUUGAAUCUCUCCCAAGCCUAACAAAAUAUCUUGUUGUGCUUCUGGGCAAAGCUAGAUAUCUCAUUCUAGAGACG
Small nucleolar RNA from Capsella rubella, 107 nucleotides. It matches the Rfam family "Plant small nucleolar RNA R71". From Rfam's summary of the family: R71 is a member of the C/D box family of snoRNAs containing the C (UGAUGA) and D (CUGA) box motifs. Multiple nearly identical copies of this snoRNA have been identified in Arabidopsis, and it is thought to function as a 2'-O-ribose methylation guide for 18S ribosomal RNA. NCBI's taxonomy places the organism in Eukaryota, Viridiplantae, Streptophyta, Magnoliopsida, Brassicales, Brassicaceae. The record is from Rfam.